AACGAAUGCUGGCGGCAGGCUUAACACAUGCAAGUCGAGCGGGUACUUCGGUACUAGCGGCGCACGGGUGAGUAACGCGUAGAUAUCUGCCCUAAAAUCUGGGAUAACGAUUGGAAACGGUCGCUAAUACUGGAUACGCCCUAUGGGGGAAAGAUUUAUCGUUUUAGGAUGAUUUUACGUCGGAUUAGCUAGUUGGUGGGGUAAGUGCUUACCAAGGCGAUGAUCCGUAGCUGGUCUGAGAGGAUGAUCAGCCACACUGGGACUGAGACACGGCCCAGACGCCUACGGGAGGCAGCAGUGGGGAAUAUUGGACAAUGGGCGCAAGCCUGAUCCAGCCACGCCGCGUGAAUGAAGAAGACCUUAGGGUUGUAAAGUUCUUUCGCUAGGGAAGAUAAUGACUGUACCUAGAUAAGAAGCCCCGGCUAACUCCGUGCCAGCCGCCGCAGUAA
RNAcentral lists this ribosomal RNA (449 nucleotides) under uncultured bacterium. RNAcentral's name for it is "partial 16S ribosomal RNA". It matches the Rfam family "Bacterial small subunit ribosomal RNA", at positions 29 to 523 of the family's 1533-position model. The record is from RNAcentral.